CAGAGACUGCAAGCGUUACUCGGAUUCACUGGGCGUAAAGGGAGCGCAGGCGGAAUCGUGUGUCGGAUGUGAAACCCGGGGGCUCAACUCCCGGACUGCGUCUGAAACUGCGAUUCUAGGGACUCGGAGGGGCUAGUGGAAUUCUUGGUGGAGCAGUGAAAUGCGUAGAUAUCAAGAGGAACACCAACGGCGAAGGCAGCUAGCUGGACGAGAUCCGACGCUCAGGCUCGAAAGUAUGGGGAGCAAAAAGGAUUAGAUACCCUUGUAGUCCAUACUGUAAACGAUGUCGACUAGGUCUUGGGGCAUUCGAACGCCCCAGGGCUCAAGCUAACGCAAUAAGUCGACCGCCUGAGGACUACGGUCGCAAGACUA
Molecule: ribosomal RNA, 372 nt
Filed under: uncultured organism
Description: bacterial SSU rRNA
Rfam family: Bacterial small subunit ribosomal RNA
Source: RNAcentral